AUACGGAGGGUGCGAGCGUUAAUCGGAAUUACUGGGCGUAAAGCGCGCGUAGGCGGUUUGGUCAGUCGGAUGUGAAAGCCCUGGGCUCAACCUGGGAAUGGCAUUCGAUACUGCCUGACUAGAGUAUGGUAGAGGGAAGUGGAAUUUCCGGUGUAGCGGUGAAAUGCGUAGAUAUCGGAAGGAACACCAGUGGCGAAGGCGACUUCCUGGGCCAAUACUGACGCUGAGGUGCGAAAGCGUGGGGAGCAAACAGGAUUAGAUACCCCAGUAGUCC
This 274-nucleotide ribosomal RNA is filed under the name uncultured bacterium. RNAcentral describes it as "partial 16S ribosomal RNA". It matches the Rfam family "Bacterial small subunit ribosomal RNA", at positions 523 to 796 of the family's 1533-position model. The record is from RNAcentral.